Molecule: transfer RNA, 100 nt
Filed under: Acidobacteriota bacterium
Lineage: Bacteria; Pseudomonadati; Acidobacteriota
Description: Acidobacteria bacterium tRNA-Sec
Rfam family: Selenocysteine transfer RNA
Source: RNAcentral
GGAAGCGAACGGGGACUGGUGUCCCUCCCGGUCUUCAAAACCGGUCGCCCCGGCGGUCGAGCCGUUGGGGGGUGGGUUCGAUUCCCACACGCUUCCGCCA